UUAAGUUUAGUUUAAUUAAAAUAAUUCAUUUACAAUGAAAAGAAUUUAAUAUAUAAUUAAAAAUUUAUA
Molecule: transfer RNA, 69 nt
Filed under: Meranoplus bicolor
Lineage: Eukaryota; Metazoa; Arthropoda; Insecta; Hymenoptera; Formicidae
Description: tRNA-Val
Source: RNAcentral